RNAcentral lists this unclassified non-coding RNA (774 nucleotides) under Hevea brasiliensis (rubber tree). The record is from RNAcentral. Lineage: Eukaryota; Viridiplantae; Streptophyta; Magnoliopsida; Malpighiales; Euphorbiaceae.
GUUUUGGUGGGGUGGGAAUUAAAACUGCAAGCAACAUCACUAGCCCCGUUUUGGUGGUAGUAACUAUUGAAUGCAUAGGAUGCAUGUGAAAGUAGAGUAUCUGGCUCAAAACAAGGCUGGCUAGGUUGAAUGGCAGAACAAUCCACAUUCCCAGGACCACAUGCCCAAUCUAAGGCACUCUGCAAGUCAAGUUGAGAAGCAUUACUUGAAGCAAUGCACCAUGAUGUUCCAUUGAAACCGGAAAAAGUGGUAUUUUUGUGCACAUCAACAACACCUUUUCCCGUAAAAUCCAAACUGUAAACACUUGUCUGGUCUGGAUAAAAUAAACCCCAGUUCCUUUCUGAUUCCAAACCAGGCUUCCUGUUCUCAUUGAACAAUGAGAAGAUAUAAAUAUCUAGCUCUUCUCCAGGCUUUGCAGGAGUACCUGAGUUACUGAUGACAUGGCGAAUCAAAUUGGUGUUAUAGGUCUGGGCAUUAUCAGGAGUAGCAGCUGUCUCCUUCGGUGACCCUUUGGAUGGCCAACCUGUCUCAGUGACCAUAAGGUUAAUUGUUCUAAAAUUCAGAGCCAUCAGAGCAAAAUAGAGGGCAUCAAUCUGAGCAUCGAACAUGUUUGUGUACAGCAAACCAGUGUUUGGAUCUAUCACUUCUGAGGAUGACUCAAAUAGAGCAUAAUCCAAAGACACAUUGUUAGGAGAAUCUCUAUAAGCAUAGUAAGGAUAAAUAUUAAUCAAAAAAGGAGACUGAUUUUCAGCAAGGAAUUCCAACAUGGGCUUC